RNAcentral lists this ribosomal RNA (630 nucleotides) under uncultured Chloroflexota bacterium. Its description in RNAcentral is "bacterial SSU rRNA". It matches the Rfam family "Bacterial small subunit ribosomal RNA", at positions 58 to 710 of the family's 1533-position model. The record is from RNAcentral. Lineage: Bacteria; Bacillati; Chloroflexota.
CAAGUCGAACGCACCAGGUAACUGGUGAGUGGCGGACGGGUGAGGAACACGUGGAUAACCUAUCCUACCAGUGGGGGAUACCUUCCAGAAAUGGGGGUUAAUCCCGCAUCCGAGGGCAUCGGUCGACCGAUGCUCUGAAAGCCCUUUGGGGCGCUGGAGGGGGGGUCCGCGGCCGAUUAGCUAGUUGGUGGGGUAAGAGCUUACCAAGGCGACGAUCGGUAGCUGGUCUGAGAGGAUGAUCAGCCACACUGGGAUUGAGAACGGCCCAGACUCCUACGGGGGGCAGCAGUGAGGAAUCUUCGGCAAUGGGGGCAACCCUGACCGAGCGACGCCGCGUGGGGGAUGAAGGCCUUCGGGUCGUAAACCCCUUUUGGGUGGGACGAGAAGCAGGACGGUACCACCCGAAGAAGCCUCGGCUAACUACGUGCCAGCAGCCGCGGUAAUACGUAGGAGGCGAGCGUUGUCCGGAGUUACUGGGCGUAAAGGGUGCGCAGGCGGCCGUGUAGGUAGAUGGUGAAAUCUCCUGGCUUACCUGGGAGGGGGCCAUCUAAACCACACGGCUUGAGGCUCGGGGAGGGGCGUGGAAUUCCGGGUGGAGCGGUGAAAUGCGUAGAGAUCCGGAGGAACACC